AAGGUAAUAUACCUUGUCAAUGAAUUUGAGAAGAGAUUAAACUUUUAAAUUUAGAGUUUGAUCCUGGCUCAGGACGAACGCUGGCGGCGUGCUUAACACAUGCAAGUCGAGCGAUGAAGCUUCCUUCGGGAAGUGAAUUAGCGGCGGACGGGUGAGUAACACGUGGGUAACCUGCCUCAAAGUGGGGGAUAGCCUUCCGAAAGGAAGAUUAAUACCGCAUAAUAUAAGAGAAUCGCAUGAUUUUUUUAUCAAAGAUUUAUUGCUUUGAGAUGGACCCGCGGCGCAUUAGCUAGUUGGUAAGGUAACGGCUUACCAAGGCAACGAUGCGUAGCCGACCUGAGAGGGUGAUCGGCCACAUUGGAACUGAGACACGGUCCAGACUCCUACGGGAGGCAGCAGUGGGGAAUAUUGCGCAAUGGGGGAAACCCUGACGCAGCAACGCCGCGUGGGUGAUGAAGGUCUUCGGAUUGUAAAGCCCUGUUUUCUAGGACGAUAAUGACGGUACUAGAGGAGGAAGCCACGGCUAACUACGUGCCAGCAGCCGCGGUAAUACGUAGGUGGCGAGCGUUGUCCGGAUUUACUGGGCGUAAAGGGUGCGUAGGCGGAUGUUUAAGUGGGAUGUGAAAUCCCCGGGCUUAACCUGGGGGCUGCAUUCCAAACUGGAUAUCUAGAGUGCAGGAGAGGAAAGCGGAAUUCCUAGUGUAGCGGUGAAAUGCGUAGAGAUUAGGAAGAACACCAGUGGCGAAGGCGGCUUUCUGGACUGUAACUGACGCUGAGGCACGAAAGCGUGGGUAGCAAACAGGAUUAGAUACCCUGGUAGUCCACGCCGUAAACGAUGGAUACUAGGUGUAGGGGGUAUCAACUCCCCCUGUGCCGCAGUUAACACAAUAAGUAUCCCGCCUGGGGAGUACGGUCGCAAGAUUAAAACUCAAAGGAAUUGACGGGGGCCCGCACAAGCAGCGGAGCAUGUGGUUUAAUUCGAAGCAACGCGAAGAACCUUACCUGGACUUGACAUCCCUUGCAUAGCCUAGAGAUAGGUGAAGCCCUUCGGGGCAAGGAGACAGGUGGUGCAUGGUUGUCGUCAGCUCGUGUCGUGAGAUGUUAGGUUAAGUCCUGCAACGAGCGCAACCCUUGUUAUUAGUUGCUACCAUUAAGUUGAGCACUCUAAUGAGACUGCCUGGGUAACCAGGAGGAAGGUGGGGAUGACGUCAAAUCAUCAUGCCCCUUAUGUCCAGGGCUACACACGUGCUACAAUGGUAGGUACAAUAAGACGCAAGACCGUGAGGUGGAGCAAAACUUAUAAAACCUAUCUCAGUUCGGAUUGUAGGCUGCAACUCGCCUACAUGAAGCUGGAGUUGCUAGUAAUCGCGAAUCAGAAUGUCGCGGUGAAUACGUUCCCGGGCCUUGUACACACCGCCCGUCACACCAUGAGAGCUGGUAACACCCGAAGUCCGUGAGGUAACCGUAAGGAGCCAGCGGCCGAAGGUGGGAUUAGUGAUUGGGGUGAAGUCGUAACAAGGUAGCCGUAGGAGAACCUGCGGCUGGAUCACCUCC
Molecule: ribosomal RNA, 1554 nt
Filed under: Clostridium botulinum NCTC 2916
Lineage: Bacteria; Bacillati; Bacillota; Clostridia; Eubacteriales; Clostridiaceae
Description: bacterial SSU rRNA
Rfam family: Bacterial small subunit ribosomal RNA
Source: RNAcentral